CCUAACUCUGUCUAGUUAAGCAAUUAUACAGCGAAACUGCGAAUGGCUCAUUAAAUCAGUUAUCGUUUAUUUGAUAGUACCUUACUACAUGGAUAACCGUGGUAAUUCUAGAGCUAAUACAUGCUAAAAACCCCGACUUCGGAAGGGGUGUAUUUAUUAGAUUAAAAACCAAUGCCCUUCGGGGCUCACUGGUGAUUCAUGAUAACUUCUCGAAUCGCACGGCCUUGCGCCGGCGAUGGUUCAUUCAAAUUUCUGCCCUAUCAACUUUCGACGGCUGGGUCUUGGCCAGCCGUGGUGACAACGGGUAACGGAGGGUUAGGGCUCGACCCCGGAGAAAACGCCUGAGAAACGGCGUUUACAUCCAAGGAAGGCAGCAGGCGCGCAAAUUACCCAAUGCCGACACGGCGAGGUAGUGACGAGAAAUACUGAUACAGGGCUCUUUUGGGUCUUGUAAUUGGAAUGAGUACAAUUUAAAUCUCUUAACGAGGAACAAUUGGAGGGCAAGUCUGGUGCCAGCAGCCGCGGUAAUUCCAGCUCCAAUAGCGUAUAUUAAAGUUGUUGCAGUUAAAAAGCUCGUAGUUGAACCUUGGGCCUGGCUGGCCGGUCCGCCUCACCGCGUGCACUGGUCCGGCCGGGCCUUUCCCUCUGGGGAACCGCAUGCCCUUCACUGGGCGUGUCGGGGAACCAGGACUUUUACUUUGAAAAAAUUAGAGUGUUCAAAGCAGGCCCAUGCUCGAAUACAUUAGCAUGGAAUAAUAGAAUAGGACGUGUGGUUCUAUUUUGUUGGUUUCUAGGACCGCCGUAAUGAUUAAUAGGGACAGUCGGGGGCAUCAGUAUUCAAUUGUCAGAGGUGAAAUUCUUGGAUUUAUUGAAGACUAACUACUGCGAAAGCAUUUGCCAAGGAUGUUUUCAUUAAUCAGGAACGAAAGUUAGGGGAUCGAAGACGAUCAGAUACCGUCGUAGUCUUAACCAUAAACUAUGCCGACUAGGGAUCGGACGGUGUUAUUUUUUGACCCGUUCGGCACCUUACACGAAAGUACAAGUUUCUGGGUUCUGGGGGGAGUAUGGUCGCAAGGCUGAAACUUAAAGAAUUUUAGGAGA
RNAcentral lists this ribosomal RNA (1101 nucleotides) under Pyricularia grisea. RNAcentral's name for it is "SSU rRNA". It matches the Rfam family "Eukaryotic small subunit ribosomal RNA", at positions 58 to 1161 of the family's 1831-position model. Lineage: Eukaryota; Fungi; Ascomycota; Sordariomycetes; Magnaporthales; Pyriculariaceae. The record is from RNAcentral.